GUCCACGCUGUAAACGAUGGGUGCUAGGCGUCGGGGGGAGCGACCCUCCCGGUGCCGUCGCUAACGCAAUAAGCACCCCGCCUGGGGAGUACGGCCGCAAGGUUGAAACUCAAAGGAAUUGACGGGGGCCCGCACAAGCGGUGGAGCAUGUGGUUUAAUUCGAUGCAACGCGAAGAACCUUACCUGGGCUUGACAUGUACGUGAAAGCCGGUGGAAACACCGGUCCUCCUUCGGGACGCGUACACAGGUGCUGCAUGGCUGUCGU
Molecule: ribosomal RNA, 265 nt
Filed under: uncultured bacterium
Lineage: Bacteria
Description: partial 16S ribosomal RNA
Rfam family: Bacterial small subunit ribosomal RNA
Source: RNAcentral